RNAcentral lists this ribosomal RNA (499 nucleotides) under Speerschneidera euploca. Its description in RNAcentral is "bacterial SSU rRNA". It matches the Rfam family "Eukaryotic small subunit ribosomal RNA", at positions 322 to 837 of the family's 1831-position model. Lineage: Eukaryota; Fungi; Ascomycota; Lecanoromycetes; Leprocaulales; Leprocaulaceae. The record is from RNAcentral.
UUUCGAUGGUAGGAUCGAGGCCUACCAUGGUUUUUACGGGUAACGGGGAAUUAGGGUUCGAUUCCGGAGAGGGAGCCUGAGAAGGGCUACCACAUCCAAGGAAGGCAGCAGGCGCGCAAAUUACCCAAUCCGGACACCGGGAGGUAGUGACAAUAAAUACAAAUUUGGGACUCUUUUGGGUCCCAAAAUUUGAAUGAGUACAAUUUAAAUCCCUUAACGAGGAACAAUUGGAGGGCAAGUCUGGUGCCAGCAGCCGCGGUAAUUCCAGCUCCAAUAGCGUAUAUUAAAUUUGUUGUAGUUAAAAAGCUCGUAGUUGAAACUUGGGCCUGGCCGGCCGGUCCGCCUCACCGCGUGCACUGGUUCGGCCGGGCCUUUCCUUCUGGGGAGCCGCAUGCCCUUGAUUGGGUGUGCCGGGGAACCAGGACUUUUACUUUGAAAAAAUUAGAGUGUUCAAAGCAGGCCUAUGCUCGSAGWCAUUAGNCAGUCAAGACACACGAAC